This 6211-nucleotide long non-coding RNA is filed under the name Musa acuminata (dwarf banana). RNAcentral describes it as "long non-coding RNA (MACU_LNC001201)". The record is from RNAcentral. Lineage: Eukaryota; Viridiplantae; Streptophyta; Magnoliopsida; Zingiberales; Musaceae.
GUGAACUCCAUCACGUGGGUGAGCUUGCCAUGUCUACUUCUCCUUCGACCGGCUUAGGAAUAAUCCAAACCGGAGAUGAGCCUCUCAGUCUCGUAAAACCUGUGCAGGUUAUGGCAUUGGAGAUGGGACGAUACGGGAUAAGAACGAACUCGGUGUGUCCUGGGAUCUUCAAGUCGGAGAUAACGGAGCGUCUCAUGGAGAAGGAAUGGAUCGGUAAAGUGGCGAGGAGGACAGUACCUUUGGGGACGUUUGGCACGGCGAAUCCUUCCGUCAUCUCGCUCAUCCGCUAUCUGGUCGAUGAUGCGUCGGAGUACGUGAAUGGGAAUGUGUUCAUCGUUGAUGCAGGUGCCACGCUCCCGGGGGUCCCCCUCUUCUCUUCCCUGUAAAUGGUGGUUUCUUAUAUGGGGCUUGCAAUAAAAAUUGAAAUAAAAAAUAUGUAUAUAUAUAUAUAUUUUUUUAUUUUUCAUGAGCAAAUAUAUAAUCUUUUCAGGGGAAAAAAUUGAAAGAGAAAACAGAGAUAAAAAUUAGAAUAGACAAAGGGCGUUGCAAAGCCUUUCUCCAAUCAGGCUUAACCAUCAGCCCAGAGAUUUGACGUUCUUUUGGGCACAGCACUUGUUUCGCCAGUACGAAUCUAAAAGCACGACACGGAAACAUCCAGAUCACUGAUCUCUCAUCUUCCGAACUCGGCUAAGUAUUCCUGUGGAUGCGAGAUCCUGUGAUCAGCGUGCGAGCUUACUAUUCAACCCACUAAUUGGCUGACCAGGUCAGCACGAUUGAGACGUCCUGGCCUCUCUUGACGUGGCCUCUACGACACCAAUGCAGGGAUUACUUCAAGUCAACGACGACGGAGAAAGACUUCGCAAGUUUCUUGCCGUCCAACAAAUAAUUCCUUUCAGUAGGCCGAUGAUCUUACCAGCGAGCAGCAGAGAAUAGAGCUCGAGAGACCGACGAAAGAUGGCGUCGCCCCCUUCUCCCUAUCUCUUGCCUUCGCUCAUCCUCACUCGCACUUUCCUCCUCGUCUUGCUACUAACCCAGACCAUCUCCUCCGCCCAGAGCUACUCCAACAUCACGCAGGGCACCACCCUCACGGCUGGCUCAUCGACCGGCUCCUGGCUCUCUCCAUCCGGCGACUUCGCCUUCGGAUUCUACCCCACCGACGCCCAAGCCUCCCUCUUCCUCGUCGCCAUCUGGUUCGAGUCCACCUCCCCCAAAGCCGUCGUCUGGUCCGCCAACCGCGACGCUCCUGUCCGAUCAGGCUCCACCCUGCAGCUGACCAGCGACGGCCGCCUCUCCCUAAAGGACGACGGCGGAAACGAAGUGUGGAGCGCGGGCCCUGCCAACGCCUCCACCGCCGCCGUCCUCGACUCCGGCAACGUCGUCCUCACUGCUUCCGGCGGCAUCUUGUGGCAGAGCUUCGAUCUUCCUACGGACACGCUCCUGCCGGGUCAAGUCUUGGGACUGGGCUCCGACCUUCGUUCCCAGCUCACCGACUCCGACUUCUCAGAUGGCCGAUUCGAGCUCGCGGCGCAAACGAGCGGCGAACUCCAGCUCCUACCGCUGGCCAUCCCCUCUGGAAACCAAUACGAUCCAUACUGGUCCAUCGACACGACCGAUUCCGGCUUUCAGCUCGUCUACAACGAAUCCGGCAGCAUAUACUUCGCUCUCACGAAUGGUACUCUGCUCAACGUAACUAUGGCUUCUGUCUAUUCCACCGAAGACUUCUUCCAACGCACGAGGCUGGAUCCCGACGGCGUCUUCCGCCAGUACAUCUACCCCAAGAGCGGCAGGGCGACCGGAUCCUGGAGUAGGAAAUGGAAUGCGGUGGCCAAAGUGCCGGCGGACAUCUGCCAAGAUCUUCAAUCCGACGGCGCUGGUAGCGGCACCUGUGGCUUUAACAGUUACUGCAGAUCCGGCGGAGAUCAGAGCGAGGUAAACUGCUUGUGCCCACCAGGGUACUCCUUCAUCGACCCGGAGCGGAAGUACAAAGGUUGCGACCAGGACUUCCCACCCAUCUGCAAACAAUACGAUCCUGCUCAGUUCAACCUGAUCCCCAUAAACAACGCCGACUGGCCCUUCUCGGAUUACGAGCACUACACGAACGUGAACGAAGACCAGUGCAGACAGUACUGUUUGGAGGAUUGCCUCUGCGCGGUUGCCAUCUUCUGGGACAGAAAGGAAUGCUGGAAGAAGAAGCUGCCGCUGUCGAAUGGAAAGCUGGGUAGCUAUAUCGACAGGACGGCACUGAUAAAAGUGUCGAAAACUAAUUAUACUUCCCUGUUGCCGCCAUCGGGUCCAGUUAUAUCUGUGGUGAAGAAGGAAAGGAAGACUUUGAUUCAGAUUGGAGCAGUGCUUCUGGGGUGCUCUGGAUUUUUUAAUGUGAUCUUCAUCGCGUUGAUCAUUGCAAAGAUCUUUGGUUCCCCUAGGGGGAGGAGUACGACGUUUCAGCCGCAGACCAGCAUGUCCGAAUUUAAUAUCAGAGUCUUUAGUUACAAGGAGCUUGAAGAAGCAACCGAUGGAUUCAAAGAAGAACUGGGAAGAGGGGCCUUCGGUUCAGUUUAUAAAGGUGUGUUGUCAUCCUACAUUAGCACUAAUAUUGCGGUGAAGAAGUUAGAUAGGCUGCUUCGCGAGAACGAGAAGGAGUUCAUAAAUGAGGUGAGAUCUAUUGGGCAGACUCAUCACAAGAAUCUGGUCAGAUUGAUUGGAUACUGCAACGAAGGGACGCACAGACUUCUGGUGUACGAGUACAUGCGAAACGGGUCGUUGAUUGGCUUCUUGUUCGGCAAUAUAAAGCUGCAUUGGCAGCAGAGGGUCCAAAUCAUAUUUGGAAUCGCAAGAGGAUUGCUUUACUUGCACGACGAGUGCAGCACUCCGAUCAUCCACUGUGACAUCAAACCUCAGAAUGUACUCCUGGAUGACAAUUUUGUGGCUAGGAUUUCGGAUUUCGGGUUAGCGAAGCUGCUGAGGGCUGACCAGACUCGAACCAAUACCGGCAUAAGGGGAACCAGAGGGUACGUAGCACCAGAGUGGUUCAAGAGCAUGGCGAUCACGAAGAAGGUGGAUGUGUACAGCUUUGGUGUGAUGAUGCUGGAGAUCAUAUGCUGCCGGAAGAACUUGGAAACAGAGAUCGGGGAAGAGGAGGAACCGGUGCUCAUUUACUGGGCUUACGAUUGUUUCAAGGAUGGGAUGGCGGAUCUUUUGGUGCAGCAUGACAAAGACGCACUGGCCGAUAUGGAGGAGGUGGAGAGGUUUGUGAAAAUAGCGUUUUGGUGCAUCCAAGAGGAUCCGUCGCUCAGGCCUUCGAUGCAGAAGGUGACUCAGAUGCUGGAAGGAGCAGUUGAAGUUUCUCUGCCACCCGAUCCUUCCCCAUUCCUGACCACAAAUUAGUCACAGAUUUCCUGAGUGCUUGGACUUGGGUUUGCUCUUCUAAUUCUCCUGAAACCCAUGGCUGGUGCAAGAAUCGCUGCAAAGCGCAUAUUGUGGUAGCAAACCAAGUGUAUUAUGGAAACUUAUCAUAUAGCCAGCCUUCUUGUUUCUAAUAUGCCUACUGUCAGUAUACAUAGAAGUCCAGUCUGCAAGGCUCUCGCCUAUGUUGAAUUUGGGAAGCACCAAUACAUUGGUCAUAGAUAGUAUCUUGUAAUUUAAACAAGAAACCAGUGAAAUAGUUUGCUGCAUAAUUCUUCCUGAAUACACUAAUUUAUUAUUUUCUUUUUUCUUGUGGUUAAAAUAUCUAUCAAACAGGGUAGGUAAUCAAGGAUAAGGUCGUUGUGGAAUUUGGGGAGAGAAAAAGAAGCAAUGAAAAAGAGUUUCUGUAAGAGAGAGAGAGAGAGAGAACAGUUGGGAUUAAGAAAGGCAUAUCAGGUGGCGUUAAAACUUGAUUCUGAAUCUUCAGAAGUUUUUAGAUAACUAUUACCUUGUUCUUCCAUAGAGAGACUCUGCAUGCGAACAUAGAUCUACCGAACGAAUCUGAGUUUUAUAUGAUCGAUCAUAUUUCUUAUUCUUUUCUCUCUCUUUUUUUUCCUAGUUUGUGUGAUGGUUUUCCCCAUUGUAUCCAUUGCUACGACAUCUUCUACCUUAACCUUUCUAGAUCUUCACCCGCUUUAACCUUUCUCAUAAAAUCCAUGCCUACCAUUGUGCUUAAUUAAAUUUACCUAAAUUAAAAACACCCUAAUAAUGCUGCAGUUUUGCACAAAAUUACAUGUUGAAUCUAAAAAACAAAAGAAAUAUCUUUGUGAAAAUAGCAACAAAUAUUCCAAAAUGAUAAAUUCGAUAUCAUAAAUAACCCCCAACUUUUCUAGAAGCAAUUAAAGUACAUAAUAGACAAGAAAGCAUACCUUCCGCAAUGAGAUGAAUGUUCUUUAGAACUGACCGUGUACUUUUACUACAGAAAAGUCAGUUAAGAAAAGAAGCAGAUCCACUGUAAGAUAGAUAUUUCAAAUGUAAAACUGGCAGAAUAUAAAUGGAUAAAUAUACAAAGUAUCUUUUGCUGUUUAAGCAGAAAUGCAAAGACAGGAAUGCUGUAACUUUUAGCAGAGUCACAAGCCACCAUCCGAGAAGGCAGGAAAGAAAAACAUAUGAGCCCGAUUGGAGCGCAAUAGAAAAACCAUCAUUAUCUAUCACUGUUCCUCUAUCCCCUUGGAACUAUGUGCCUGGUUUCUCAUCUCAAUUCAUGAUAGAGCCCCAUGGAAACAAUUCAUGUUUAUAAACAUUAUCCAACAAGUACAAAUAUAAUCAUAGACAAUUGUAAUCUGGAAUCCUUAAAGAAAAUCUCUUUUUUUUUUUAAAAGCAGGCAGAAAAUUUAACAAGUGAAUAGUCUUCAAGCCUUCUAUUAAUGACCUAAUCAGAUGGAUGGUUCAUUACCUAAUGAUGUAAGAAGCAACCUUAGGCGACCGCAAACCUAAACAAUGAACCAAUUAUGCAUAUCGUGAUUGGUUAGCUGAGUGGCCUACCUAGUAAUCGCACUAGAAUUAUGACAUAGAAAUUUCACAUUCCAUAUAACUAUGUCCCUGAAAUUACUGAAUAAUUUAGAACAUGUUAUAUUGGAACAUCUACCGGAGGCAAAUGAAGAAGUUGAAUCUUCAAAGAUAAAUUAACUGAAGAUAACAAAUGUAAGUCCCAACCAACAAACCUAAGUCAUUGGAUAUCAUUUAAUUGCAAUAACUGAGUUCACAAUUUGCUGAAUGAACAUAUUGGAACAGGUGGUCUAAGUACAAAACAUUUCUCUUGUGAAGAGCAUGAUCUGGUGUAGAACAAGAGUGACGAUGAGGCGUAUUUAGUUCUAAUAGAAUCCUACAAUCAAGGAGUUUAUAGGAUUUCCAAUCAUCUUUAACAAGCUAUUAAUGAGGGGAUUCUAGCAAAUUUAUCAUGUGGCAGAAUCAUCGGCCUUUAAAGGAUUAAGGUCAAAAUGAUUGAUGCUACAACUCUUUCAAGGGUGGGUUAAGAUCAUCUCUCAAUUAGAGCAGAUAGCUAGAUUCCAAAGGAAUGCCAAAUUGUGGCACAUAUACUUGAUAGCAGCGAAUGUUUUAGAACCGCAUAAGAAAAUAUACUCUCCAAUCAAAUGUUUCUUCUCAGUGCCAGAAAUCCAUAGCCUCGGUCAGCAAGCAUGAUUUCCCAACAGAAAGCUGCAGAUGAAAUAGAAAGCAGUGAAAGAGAACUAGAUCAUAGAUCAACGUAGGAACCGCAAACAUGACAGCGUGCCAAUCCAAUAAGGGGGAAAGGAACAGAGAACCAAUAGAACAAACAGAGGGGUUACGGAACAAGCUCACCUCAGAUUCAGAAGCCAUCGCUCUCAAACUCACACAUCCCCGGAGCUCGUCCAGUGCCGAUCCAUGGCCGAGAAACGGCGGUCCAGGCUACCUGUCGGAGACGAGGGACAUCGGCGCGUUGCAUUAGGAUACUUGACGGAGGAUUUCGAAGCAUUAGGGUUCAUUUAGAGAUCGGAUUUAGCGGAAGAAGAGGACCGAGAGAUGAACGAUAUGGAGAUAUCUCGAGAACUCGGAAGGCGGGCACUUACCGGUUUUAAGUUUCUUUUAAGGUUAAUUUAGGACUGAUAAUAAAUUACGUUUGUAUUUAGCUACCUUCGUCAUCUCACUUUUUAUACUUUAAAAUUUUAUAUUAAAUUCUUAUAAUUAUAAAAAUAAAAUAUUUAAAUCUAUUUAUCUUAACAUCAUCAAUUUUAUCAAAUAAAAUAUGAAAACAAAUGGUAAAAGGAUG